Molecule: ribosomal RNA, 1347 nt
Filed under: human gut metagenome
Description: bacterial LSU rRNA
Rfam family: Bacterial large subunit ribosomal RNA
Source: RNAcentral
UCCCGGCUGCCGAGAAAAGCUUCGGCGUGAGGCGGCGUGCCGCCCGUACCCCAAACCGACACUGGUGGUCAGGUAGAGAAUACCAAAGCGAUCGAGCGAAUCCUGGUCAAGGAACUCGGCAAAUCACUCCCGUUCCUUCGGUUUAAGGGAGACCCCCGAUGGUGAAGCGGCUUGCCCGUGGAGCUUUUGGGGGUGGCACAGACCAGGGGGUAGCGACUGUUUACCAAAAACACAGGAGCGUGCGAAGGCGCAAGCCGCUGUAUACGCUCUGACGCCUGCCCGGUGCCGGAAGGUUAAGAGGAUCCGUCAGGCUUCGGCCGAAGCGGUGAAUUCAAGCCCCGGUAAACGGCGGUGGUAACUAUAACCAUCCUAAGGUAGCGAAAUUCCUUGUCGGGUAAGUUCCGACCUGCACGAAUGGCGUAACGACUUCCCCACUGUCUCGACCAGGAGCUCGGCGAAAUUGCAGUACGAGUAAAGAUGCUCGUUAAGCGCAGAAGGACGAAAAGACCCCGGGACCUUUACUAUACCUUGGUAUUGGCAUUCGGUGUGGAUUGUGUAGCAUAGGCGGAAGGCUUCGAAGCCACGGCGCCAGCCGCGGUGGAGCCGCAAGGUGAAAUACCGCUCUGUUCGCAUUGGAUGUCUAACCUCGACCAGUCAUCCUGGUCAGGGACAGUGCCUGGCGGGUAGUUUAACUGGGGCGGUUGCCUCCCAAAGAGUAACGGAGGCGCUCAAAGGUUCCCUCAGCCCGGUUGGCAAUCGGGUGGCGAGUGUAAGUGCACAAGGGAGCUUGACUGCGAGACUGACGGGUCGAGCAGGGACGAAAGUCGGAACUAGUGAUCCGGUGCCGGUGUACGGACGCGGCAUCGCUCAACGGAUAAAAGGUACCCCGGGGAUAACAGGCUGAUCAUUCCCAAGAGUCCAUAUCGACGGGAUGGUUUGGCACCUCGAUGUCGGCUCGUCGCAUCCUGGGGCUGGAGCAGGUCCCAAGGGUUCGGCUGUUCGCCGAUUAAAGCGGCACGCGAGCUGGGUUCAGAACGUCGUGAGACAGUUUGGUCUCUAUCCUCUGCGCUCGUCGGAAUGUUGAGGAGGCCUGCCCAUAGUACGAGAGGACCUGGGUGGACGAACCUCUGGUAUGCCGGUUGUCACGCCAGUGGCACGGCCGGUUGGCUACGUUCGGAAGGGAUAACCGCUGAAAGCAUCUAAGCGGGAAGCCUGCUCCAAGAUAAGCAUUCCAUAGGACUACGGGUCCUUGAAGUCCCCAUGCAGAACACGUGGUUGAUAGGCCGGACGUGGAAGCCCCGCGAGGGGUGGAGCCGACCGGUACUAACGGACGAAAGGCAACACAAC